Molecule: long non-coding RNA, 571 nt
Organism: Rhincodon typus (whale shark)
Lineage: Eukaryota; Metazoa; Chordata; Chondrichthyes; Orectolobiformes; Rhincodontidae
Exons: 4
Source: RefSeq, a predicted model, not a curated record
AAGGUUUUUGCGGAGUUUGUCAGUGUGUUUCACACACUCUGUAGAGCGAGGCACUUGAAGAGGCUGUUAGCUUCAGGAUUGUUUCUUGACACGGGUUGUUAUGCGAAACCAUAAGCUGGAUUCUCCCGUUCCAUCAAAACAGAUGUUACCACCAUCCCAAGGACAAGUCUGGUGAAUGUACAUGGAAAUAACAUAUCUGCUGAGAUAAGGAGACCCAAACUGCACACAGGACUGCAGACUCUCUGGCUGUGCUCCCCUGCCACCAUUAGGAUCAGAGAAGCAAGAAACACCAGACUGAGUCACUGACUGAAUGCAUGCCCCAAACAGACAGGGCACAGCGAUGGAGAUCCUCACCACUCUCCUGCUGCUCGGGCAAAUAAUAAUUCUACAAAUACGAGAAGGUAUGUUGAGUCCCAGUUUGGCUCCACCACAUGACAUAUUGAUGAAAUCCACGGUGUCAGUACUCAAGCCAAUUUUUACAUAACGAAUAACAAAGUAUUGUGGAUGCAGGAGAUCUGAAACAACACCGAGAGUGCUGGAGAAACUCAGCAGGUCUGACAGCAUCUGUGGA